UACGGAGGGGGGCUAGCGUUGUUCGGAAUUACUGGGCGUAAAGCGCACGUAGGCGGAUAUUUAAGUCAGGGGUGAAAUCCUGGAGCUCAACUCCAGAACUGCCUUUGAUACUGGCAACCUAGAGACUGGAAGAGGUUAGUGGAAUUCCCAGUGUAGAGGUGAAAUUCGUAGAUAUUCGCAAGAACACCAGUGGCGAAGGCGGCUCACUGGGCCCGGUACUGACGCUGAGGUGCGAAAGCGUGGGGAGCAAACAGGG
RNAcentral lists this ribosomal RNA (256 nucleotides) under uncultured bacterium. RNAcentral describes it as "partial 16S ribosomal RNA". It matches the Rfam family "Bacterial small subunit ribosomal RNA", at positions 524 to 777 of the family's 1533-position model. The record is from RNAcentral.